GGGGGUGUCGACGGCGCCAAGACUGACUUUAUGUAGCGGUCUUGAAAACCGCCGACUCGCAAGGGUCCCAGAGUUCGAAUCUCUGCGCUUCCGCCA
RNAcentral lists this transfer RNA (96 nucleotides) under Pseudomonas oryzihabitans. Its description in RNAcentral is "tRNA-Ser". The record is from RNAcentral. Lineage: Bacteria; Pseudomonadati; Pseudomonadota; Gammaproteobacteria; Pseudomonadales; Pseudomonadaceae.